RNAcentral lists this long non-coding RNA (1912 nucleotides) under Podarcis lilfordi (Lilford's wall lizard). The record is from RNAcentral. Lineage: Eukaryota; Metazoa; Chordata; Lepidosauria; Squamata; Lacertidae.
CUGGAAGAGGGUCCCUAACUGAAGGAGAUAGUGGUGAAACCACUCCUUUAGAAAUUCUCCCCGCAUUCACAAAACCUUAGGAAUAAUUGGUCAGUUGCCAAUCUCUCUUUCAUGCCCAAGGUUCCUGAGCAGGUGGUCAUGGCCCAGAUCUAGGGGGAAACUGGUUUUCUAGACCGAUUUCAAUCUGGGCCCUCUUUUUUUUUCAAUUAGGCCCAGCUUUUUGCACAGAAACUGCCCUUGCUAAUGCUCCUCAAACUCCCGGUGGCUUUUGAUGCCAUUAACCAUGGUACCCUGCUGGAAUGGCUGCCCAAGUUAGGAGUGGGUGGCACCAUUUAGUGGCGAUUCCAGUCCUAGCUGGAUGGCCAUUUACAGAGAGUGAUGCUUGGAGAGUACUUUUUGGCUCCAAGGAACCUUGAAUGUAGGGUUCCUCAGGGGUCGAUUUUAUCCUUCAUGCUGUUAACAUCUACACUUCUUUGUAUCUGGACUGGAUGAACCAAUAAACUGAAGCUGAAUCCAUAUAAGACUGAGGCACUGUUAGUAGGUGAUCCCCUAGACUGGAUGCAUGAGAGGUGACCUGCUCUUGAUGGAGGAGAAGAAGAAGAGUUUGGACUUGAUAUCCCGCCUUUCAUUCCCCUUAAGGAGUCUCAAAGUGGCUAACAAUCUCCUUUUCCUUCCUCCUCCACAACAAACACUCUGUGAGGUGAGUGAGGCUGAGGGACUUCAGAGAAGUGUGACUAGCCCAAGGUCACCCAGCAGCUGCAUGUGGAGGAGCGGGGAAGCGAACCUGGUUCACCAGAUUAUGAGUCCACCACUCUUAACCACUACACCAUGCUGGCUCCAUGCUGGAGUUAUAUUCCCUCUGAAGGAACGGGGACACAGCUUCGUUAUACUGUUGCUUGAGUCUCAGGUGGCCUCAGUGGCAUAGAGUACCUUCCAUCAGCUUUGGCUGGUGGCCCAGCCACACCCAUAACUGGAUCCUCUUGUAAUUUCUAGAUUAGAUUACUGAAACAUAUUAAAUGUGGGGCUGCCUCUGUAGAUGGUUCGGAAACUUCAGCUGGUACAGAAUCUAGUUGCCAGGUAGCUCACUGGGGCAAGAUGGCUUGAGCAUAUAGCACCAAUCCUGGCCCAACUGCACUGGCUACCAAUUAGUUUCCAAGCUGAGUUCAAACUGCUGGUUUUGGCCUAUAAAGCCUUAAAUGGCUCAGAAUCACAAUACAAGGACUGCCUUUCUCCACAUGAACCAACCCAGACCCCGUGAUGAUCAUCUGGGGUCCUUCUUUGUGUGCCUGCUUCACAAGAAGCCCAGAGUGCAGCAACACAAGAACAGGCUUCUCUGCAGUGGCUCCCUGCUUCUAGAAUGCUCUCCCCAGGGUGGGUAUUGGUUUUUUUUUGUUAUUAUGGUAUGUAUUUUUGUGUUUUUAUAUUUGAUCUUUGGGUGAAUAGCAGUAUAGAAAUUUAAUUAGUAUACUAAUUUAAUUAGAAAUAUUAAUAAUAAUGCUGUUCUUCAUUUUACUGAGACUUCUAAAAUGCAGUUACAUUACAGUUCAGGUUGCAAAAUCGGCCUUGGACCUUUGUGAAUUUACUUCAGGAGGAGAACACAGUUACCCAGCCAGCUCUAGGGUAAUCUCUCACACACAGGCAUUAAAAAGAAUACCUUUCUCCUGAAUCUUCCCCCCGCCCCAUGUCCUGCUUACCUAGUUUGCUUUAAAAUAAGCUGCUAAGGACAACUGCAUGUUUUGUCUCAGUGCCUGGCAGCUGUAGCCGCUAACAUGAUAAUUAAUGUUUACAGGGGGAAUGGUUAUCUGCCCUGAAAAGGAGAGUACAAUUCCAAGGUAACCUGUUUUCUGCCUUCAACUUUUAUGGACCUGCAUCAAAAAAGCUAAAUUUAAAAUCAACCAUUCAUUGUGUAAAG